Molecule: long non-coding RNA, 1608 nt
Filed under: Oryctolagus cuniculus (rabbit)
Lineage: Eukaryota; Metazoa; Chordata; Mammalia; Lagomorpha; Leporidae
Description: lncRNA (ENSOCUG00000033778.1)
Source: RNAcentral
AUGUUAAAAAACAAACCAAACCAAACCAGAAACACACCGGGCAGGCAAGCAAGCAGAGCUCGGCAGAGACCCCGCGCCUGCCCCGGGGCGAGCUCACACGCAGGUGGGCGGCGGGGCGGGGAUCUCGUACUUGCCCUGGUGGGUUUUGGGGGGAGGCUGGGCCUUGGAGUAAAUGCCCCCGCCGGCGCCGGCGAUGACGCUGGCGGGCUUCCUGCGGCUGCUCCGCCUCAGCCGGCGGCUGCACACGCUCUGCCAGGACUGCAGGGUCUUGGAGGUCCAGACCCACAUGCCGCUGGUGAUGCCCACGACCAGCAGCAUGGACACCUUCACCAGGAAGAUCUCCACGGCCGGGAUGGAGGCCGCCAUGGCGCAGUCCAGGUCCUUGGUCUGGUUGUUCACCCUGCACUUGUGCUGCGUGGCCAGGGUCUUCCAGUAGUCCACGUUCAGGCGCUCGUAGAAGUAGCAGGCGAUGACGCAGGUGGCGGGCACGGUGUAGAGCACGGAGAAGACGCCGAUCCGCACCAUGAGCUUCUCCAGCUUGUCCGUGUUCUCCCCGCCCGUCUUCAUGACCCGGCGGAUGUGGAAGAGGGCCACGAAGCCGGACAGCACGAAGGACGUGCCCACCACCAGGUAGCAGGCCAGCGGCACCAGCACGAAGCCCGUGAGGGCGUUCACGUCCAUGCUGCCCACGUAGCACACGCCGGUCAGCUCGUCGCCCGGUCGCUGGCCUGGGCAACUCUCGCCCCUCUGGACAGUGGGGGCUGGCUUUGCCCGUGGCUCUGUAGGGUGCCGUCCUCUGCUGGGCCCCUCCUCUCUUGGCCACAGCUUGCUGCUGGCCUGUCUGUCUGUAGGCAUCCAGCGCAUCAGUCCCUCACCAGGGGCCAUGUGGCGAGGCCCGCUCCCCAUCUGAACUUGACUUGUGUGGUCGGGAGCCUGGUACAGUUUCCAGCCAGUCGUGCCUGGUUUUCUGGCCUCAGUGCACUGUUCUGAUGUGGGGUGCUCUCGCAGGACGUCAGCCCAAGUGUUGCUUGUUCAGCGAAUCAAUGGUCCUUGCCUGCUGUUGCCAUGUGCCCUUGGCAUGUGUGUGGCAAGUAUACAUAUGUGCAUGUACACACGCUGUAUACAUAUAUCCAUGCAUGCACUUAUAUACAAUACACACAUGCAUACGUGUACACAGUACCUAAAAUGUGGUUUUUUUUUUUGAGAAGGUGGGACUGGUGUUGUGACAGUGAGUAGAGCUGCUGCCCAUGCGGCAUCCCGUAUGGGCACUGGUUCAGGUCCCGGCUGCUCCGUUUCAAUCCAGCUCCCUGCCGGUGCACCUGGGAAAAGCAGCAGAAGACGGCCCAGGUGCCUGGGCCCCUGACACCCACGUGGGGGACCUGCGUGGAGUUCCUGGCUCCUGGCUUCAGUCUGGCCCAGCCCUGGCCAUUGCAGCCACUUGGGGUGUGAAGCCAGCAGGUGAGUCCCUCCCUCCCUCCCUCUCUCCCUCUCUCUCUCUUUUUCCCUCUCCCUCUCUCCCUCCCUCCCUCCCUUCCUCUCUCUGUCCCUCCCUCUCUAUAACUCUGCCUUUCAAAUAAAUAAAUUAAAUCUUUAAAAUAAGAUAAGAUA